RNAcentral lists this ribosomal RNA (497 nucleotides) under uncultured Chloroflexota bacterium. RNAcentral describes it as "bacterial SSU rRNA". It matches the Rfam family "Bacterial small subunit ribosomal RNA", at positions 355 to 867 of the family's 1533-position model. The record is from RNAcentral. Lineage: Bacteria; Bacillati; Chloroflexota.
UAGGGAAUAUUGCACAAUGGGCGAAAGCCUGAUGCAGCAACGCCGCGUGCACGAUGAAGGUCUUCGGAUCGUAAAGUGCUUUUCUGGGAGAUGAGAAAGGACAGUAUCCCAGGAAUAAGUCUCGGCUAACUACGUGCCAGCAGCCGCGGUAAAACGUAGGAGGCAAGCGUUAUCCGGAUUCACUGGGCGUAAAGCGCGUGCAGGCGGCUCGGUAAGUUGGGCGUGAAAUCUCCUGGCUUAACUAGGAGAGGCCGUCCAAUACUACCGGGUUAGAGAGCAGUAGAGGAAGAUGGAAUUCCCGGUGUAGUGGUGAAAUGCGUAGAUAUCGGGAGGAACACCAGUGGCGAAGGCGAUCUUCUGGACUGUUUCUGACGCUCAGACGCGAAAGCUAGGGUAGUAAACGGGAUUAGAGACCCCGGUAAUCCUAGCCGUAAACGAUGUGAACUUGGCGUCGGUAGCUUAAACUCAAUCGGUGCCGUAGCUAACGCGAUAAGUUU